CAACUUCUGCUUCACUGGAGAACAGUCUUCUCUCAAUGGCAACCUGUGCACAACAAUAUCGGUAUCCAACCCUGGCAUAUCUUGAUAAGACCAGGCGAAGAUAUCAACAUACUCUUUCAACAAGGCUACCAUUCUGCUUUUGACAUUCACCUCUAAAGCGGCCCCGACUUUUAAUUCUUUUCUGACCUCCUCGGUACCCAAAUUGACAAUCUCGACUUGCUCCUCGUGCG
Molecule: long non-coding RNA, 230 nt
Filed under: Lathyrus oleraceus (garden pea)
Lineage: Eukaryota; Viridiplantae; Streptophyta; Magnoliopsida; Fabales; Fabaceae
Description: Pisum sativum (pea) long non-coding RNA (PSAT_LNC029665)
Source: RNAcentral